GAGUUUGACCCUGGCUCAGAUUGAACGCUGGCGGCAUGCCUUACACAUGCAAGUCGAGCGGAUGACGGGAGCUUGCUCCUUGAUUCAGCGGCGGACGGGUGAGUAAUGCCUAGGAAUCUGCCUGGUAGUGGGGGACAACGUUUCGAAAGGAACGCUAAUACCGCAUACGUCCUACGGGAGAAAGCAGGGGACCUUCGGGCCUUGCGCUAUCAGAUGAGCCUAGGUCGGAUUAGCUAGUUGGUGGGGUAAUGGCUCACCAAGGCGACGAUCCGUAACUGGUCUGAGAGGAUGAUCAGUCACACUGGAACUGAGACACGGUCCAGACUCCUACGGGAGGCAGCAGUGGGGAAUAUUGGACAAUGGGCGAAAGCCUGAUCCAGCCAUGCCGCGUGUGUGAAGAAGGUCUUCGGAUUGUAAAGCACUUUAAGUUGGGAGGAAGGCAGUAAGUUAAUACCUUGCUGUUUUGACGUUACCGACAGAAUAAGCACCGGCGUAACUACUGUGCCAGCAGCCG
This 514-nucleotide ribosomal RNA is filed under the name bacterium enrichment culture clone ALO1_GLFRUDD03GRXJO. Its description in RNAcentral is "bacterial SSU rRNA". It matches the Rfam family "Bacterial small subunit ribosomal RNA", at positions 9 to 517 of the family's 1533-position model. The record is from RNAcentral.